RNAcentral lists this microRNA precursor (106 nucleotides) under Marmota monax (woodchuck). Lineage: Eukaryota; Metazoa; Chordata; Mammalia; Rodentia; Sciuridae. The record is from RNAcentral.
AUAUGAAUCACCCGGGGAUCUUGUUAAAAAUGUGGAUUCCAAUUCCACCGUUCUGAGUUAGGGCCUGAAGUCCUGCAUUGCUAACAAAUUCCCACGUGCUGCAGAU